GGAGAGGUGUCCGAGCUGGUUGAAGGAGCACGAUUGGAAAUCGUGUGUACGCUAAUACCGUACCGAGGGUUCGAAUCCCUCUCUCUCCGCCA
This 92-nucleotide transfer RNA is filed under the name Methylomusa anaerophila. Its description in RNAcentral is "tRNA-Ser". It matches the Rfam family "tRNA". Rfam says of the family: Transfer RNA (tRNA) molecules are approximately 80 nucleotides in length. Their secondary structure includes four short double-helical elements and three loops (D, anti-codon, and T loops). Lineage: Bacteria; Bacillati; Bacillota; Negativicutes; Selenomonadales; Sporomusaceae. The record is from RNAcentral.